Molecule: ribosomal RNA, 507 nt
Filed under: uncultured bacterium
Lineage: Bacteria
Description: bacterial SSU rRNA
Rfam family: Bacterial small subunit ribosomal RNA
Source: RNAcentral
GGUCAGGAUGAACGCUAGCUACAGGCUUAACACAUGCAAGUCGAGGGGCAGCAUGGUCUAGCUGCUAAGACCGAUGGCGACCGGCGCACGGGUGAGUAACGCGUAUCCAACCUUCCCCUUAGUAGGGCAUAGCCCGUAGAAAUGCGGAUUAAUACCCUAUGUUGUAUAUUGAGGACAUCUGAUUUAUACCAAAGGUUCACCGCUAAGGGAUGGGGAUGCGUCUGAUUAGGUUGUUGGCGGGGUAACGGCCCACCAAGCCUACGAUCAGUAGGGGUUCUGAGAGGAAGGUCCCCCACAUUGGAACUGAGACACGGUCCAAACUCCUACGGGAGGCAGCAGUGAGGAAUAUUGGUCAAUGGACGAGAGUCUGAACCAGCCAAAGUAGCGUGCAGGAUGACGGCCCUAUGGGUUGUAAACUGUCUUUUAUACGGGGAUAAAGUGAGGGACGCGUCCCUUUUUGUAGGUACCGUAUGAAUAAGGACCGGCUAAUUCCGUGCCAGCCGCAGC